This 214-nucleotide long non-coding RNA is filed under the name Elaeis guineensis (African oil palm). RNAcentral describes it as "long non-coding RNA (EGUI_LNC041260)". Lineage: Eukaryota; Viridiplantae; Streptophyta; Magnoliopsida; Arecales; Arecaceae. The record is from RNAcentral.
UACUGUAUGCCUCAUAUAGCUUUGAUACCACUUGUUAUGCUAAACAGAAUAAGGAAAAAAAAAUGAAAGAGAUAAUAAUUGAGGAGUAGCAAAGAUCAAAAGAAAACACUUUAUUCACUUCUUGGUGAUGAUCUUGGAUACAACCAUAAAGGUUAUUUCUAAACCCCCAUAACCUGUAGCCUGAGUAAAUUACUGGCUCCCAAAAUAGAAAAUA